UAAGCAUAUCAAUAAGCGGAGGAAAAGAAACCAACCGGGAUUGCCCUAGUAACGGCAAGUGAAGCGGCAAGAGCUCAAAUUUGAAAGCUGGCCCCCUCGGGGUCCGCAUUGUAAUUUGUAGAGGAUGCUUCGGGAGCGGUCCCCAUCUAAGUGCCCUGGAACGGGCCGUCAUAGAGGGUGAGAAUCCCGUAUGGGAUGGGGUGCCCGCGCCCGUGUGAAGCUCCUUCGACGAGUCGAGUUGUUUGGGAAUGCAGCUCUAAUUGGGUGGUAAAUUUCAUCUAAAGCUAAAUAUUGGCCGGAGACCGAUAGCGCACAAGUAGAGUGAUCGAAAGAUGAAAAGCACUUUGAAAAGAGAGUUAAACAGCACGUGAAAUUGUUGAAAGGGAAGCGCUUGCGAUCAGACUCGCUCGCGGGGUUCAGCCGGCCUUCGGGCCGGUGUACUUCCCCGCGGGCGGGCCAGCGUCGGUUUGGGCGGCCGGUCAAAGGCCCCUGGAAUGUAACGCCUCUCGGGGCGUCUUAUAGCCAGGGGUGCCAUGCGGCCUGCCCGGACCGAGGAACGCGCUUCGGCUCGGACGCUGGCAUAAUGGUCGUAAGCGACCCGUCUUGAAACACGGACCAAGGAGUCUAACAUCUACGCGAGUGUUCGGGUGUCAAACCCGUGCGCGCAGUGAAAGCGAACGGAGGUGGGAACCCCUCGGGGUGCACCAUCGACCGAUCCUGAAGUCUUCGGAUGGAUUUGAGUAAGAGCGUAGCUGUUGGGACCCGAAAGAUGGUGAACUAUGCCUGAAUAGGGCGAAGCCAGAGGAAACUCUGGUGGAGGCUCGCAGCGGUUCUGACGUGCAAAUCGAUCGUCAAAUUUGGGUAUAGGGGCGAAAGACUAAUCGAACCAUCUAGUAGCUGGUUCCUGCCGAAGU
This 914-nucleotide ribosomal RNA is filed under the name Penicillium miczynskii. RNAcentral's name for it is "LSU rRNA". It matches the Rfam family "Eukaryotic large subunit ribosomal RNA", at positions 35 to 967 of the family's 3401-position model. The record is from RNAcentral. Lineage: Eukaryota; Fungi; Ascomycota; Eurotiomycetes; Eurotiales; Aspergillaceae.